Molecule: long non-coding RNA, 1419 nt
Filed under: Homo sapiens (human)
Lineage: Eukaryota; Metazoa; Chordata; Mammalia; Primates; Hominidae
Description: lncRNA bladder and prostate cancer suppressor, hnRNPK interacting
Source: RNAcentral
AGGCUCUCGCGGGUUUCCCCUGCCAGGGAAUCCACUCGCUGUAGUUUUCUAGGGCUCUGGUCCCAGUCCUUUCUGAAGCGCGCUUGCAGGCUGUCUUCCUCAGUCGCCCUCUCCCUGGGUGCUGUUUUGCUGGGCAGCAUCCCAUGCUAGGCUCGGCAGACAUUCUGGCGGUUGGGUUCGGCCCUUACAGCGCUAACACCUGCAGAGUCGAGGCUCCUGCCAAAAGGCAGAAAGCAAAGGAGGAAAAAAUUCAUUGUCAUAAUAGCGAAAAUGAUAAACCUCAGCUGUUUAAGAGAAGAAUGUCUGAGUAGCUGUUGAUUAUCUCCCAUAAUCACAAAACAACUUUUUUUUAAAAAGAAUUUGCACUGUCUGUUAAAACGCGGUCAUUGUUUUGCUUUCAAAUCGAACUUCACGACAGUUAGCAACUUCAAGAACGCUUCCAAAUGGAUAAAUCUUUCCAGAAGGUUUUUCUGUGGACCUAAAUUUUCAUUUCUCUGGGAUAAAUGUCCAGGAGUGUGAUUGCUGGGUCAUAUGGUGUCACAUGCCAUUCUUCUGAUUUUCAUGAAUAUCCUCUAAAAGGCAGCUAAGCACUCGCUGUCUUCUUCCUUUUGCCUCAUCAAGCACGGGGGACGCUGGAAGGAAGAGGCAUCAACAGUGAGAACUGGGCAAAGCACAUGAGAUGUCUAAGAUCUGCCAGGAAAAGGACCAUGAAGGACUUGCCUGUGGUCAAGAAUCUACAUCUCAGUAUUUGUACAGUUGAGCCGAAAUGCCUGUUCUAACAAAGAGAGCCUGGUGUAUUCAGCUGGAACUCGUCAGCAUUUCAAGGGAAAGAAGUCACUCACUAAUUAAUGCUGGAGGUGGUGAGUGAAUGUGUGUGUGUGAGUGUACGUGCAUGUGUAGGAGGAUAUAGAAAUUAAGGGAGAGUAGGUUUUUACUUUAUUUAAUUCCCAUACUACUUUUCUCAGAUUUAUAUUUCUUUGUGAUUAAUUUUUCUCUGACACAGUAAUAAGAUCUGAGUUUUUUUCUCCAAUCCCAUGUUUAUUUAUUUGAUUUAGAGACAACACAGCAAGUCCUGCUUUGUUCUUCUGUCAUCUUAGUUGUAGGUCUAUUGGAUCUUUGAUCAAUUUAGUCUUUUUUAUAUUGGGUUUUCUCCAGAUAUUAUAAAUUGUAGCAGGUCAUUUGGAAUUAAUAUAGUUUAUCACCUCAGUAGGUUCUAAAUUAAGUUUCUUUAAUAGUGCACAGGAAGUGUUUAUGACCUUUAGAAUGGGUCAAUGAUUACAGGUUUUAAGAGGUUCAGAAAGUCCAAGGAGACCUUCCCCUCAAACUAUUCUGCUUAGAAAGGGAAGGGUCACCAGCCAGACCAGCAACAAAAUUCCAAACAAAACAAAACAAACAUACAAGAAAAAAACCCUCAGUGUU